GGGGGCGUGGCUCACGCGGUAGAGCGUCUGCCUGGCAAGCACGAGGCCCUGGGUUCAAAUCCCAGCACCACCG
This 73-nucleotide transfer RNA is filed under the name Dipodomys ordii (Ord's kangaroo rat). It matches the Rfam family "tRNA". From Rfam's summary of the family: Transfer RNA (tRNA) molecules are approximately 80 nucleotides in length. Their secondary structure includes four short double-helical elements and three loops (D, anti-codon, and T loops). Further hydrogen bonds mediate the characteristic L-shaped molecular structure. tRNAs have two regions of fundamental functional importance: the anti-codon, which is responsible for specific mRNA codon recognition, and the 3' end, to which the tRNAs corresponding amino acid is attached (by aminoacyl-tRNA synthetases). tRNAs cope with the degeneracy of the genetic code in two manners: having more than one tRNA (with a specific anti-codon) for a particular amino acid; and 'wobble' base-pairing, i.e. permitting non-standard base-pairing at the 3rd anti-codon position. The record is from Rfam by way of RNAcentral. Lineage: Eukaryota; Metazoa; Chordata; Mammalia; Rodentia; Heteromyidae.